ACAUUUUAGCUCCGUAUUUUUCUUGCUCUGUGACUUUGAGUACAUCGACUAAUUUCUCUAUGUUCUUAUUUCCUUAAGAUGUGGAUAAUAGGGCUAUCCAACUCAGGGCUGUUGUGAGAAUUGAAAAGCCUAAUUUCUGUGCAUAUGGAUGAUCCCUGGCAUAUGCUAGCAGUAUGUGGCAAGAGAGCCCCUCAGGAUACUUCAGCAGUGAGCUGAAGCUUCCAGUCAAUCACUCAACCACGACGGAAGAGCAGGUGCUGCUCCAUGGUGCUCUGCUGCUUGGAGAUGAUGCUCAGUAUGUCAGAAACGAGACCUGUGGAAAUAGGAUUGCUCUGGGGACUGUCUUGAGCCAGCAAACAGAGACUUGUGAAGGCAACAGGGAGACCUAGGCCCAAGAACAGCUUAUAGCAGCACUGAAGACAUCACCACUGACAUGAGAGGGAUGAGGAUGACAGAAAUUGGAAGGCACUAGUGUAACAUGAGAACCGAGGAGACCACAGAUUGACAAGACCUCCUAAUACACUGCUGACCUGCUGUCUUGGCUUUCUUAAGUGAAAUAUGUAUACCCUAUAAAUAAUUACAGAUUUGUUUCUUU
Long non-coding RNA from Cavia porcellus (domestic guinea pig), 595 nucleotides. RefSeq lists it as uncharacterized. NCBI's taxonomy places the organism in Eukaryota, Metazoa, Chordata, Mammalia, Rodentia, Caviidae. The transcript has 3 exons. The record is from RefSeq and is a predicted model, not a curated record.